Molecule: long non-coding RNA, 2139 nt
Filed under: Homo sapiens (human)
Lineage: Eukaryota; Metazoa; Chordata; Mammalia; Primates; Hominidae
Description: non-protein coding LINC02568:13
Source: RNAcentral
UUCCUCUCAAGCACUGAGAAAGGGCUCAGGUGUAUCUGGUGGCCGGCAGAGCAGGUAGUCAGCCAAGGCUUCAUAGUUCUCACCCACGGCAAUUCAGCUAGCAAACUAGAGACACUUCCCCAAGAAGACACAGCGUGGCAAGACUGCUGAGACGCAUAAAGAAAUCUUAGCUGGUUUCCUGGUUGAAUGUUCUGUUGUAGAAGAAUGCAACUGAGUUUUCUAAACAGAUCUUCUUCUUGACAUCCUUGCUGAACGAGAGCAAAGGAGACAGCUGGGAGCAGAUGGGCAAAUCCCAGUUUGCCCAAAGAAAUGUCUAUUUUCCAAGGGGCAUGAAGAAUUUAGGAAUAAAGCAGAUCUGAUUUCUAAUUCUGACUUUGCUACUGGCAAAUUGUGUGGACUCAGGAAAGUGACCGGCCCUCUUUAAGACUCAGUGUGCUUACCUCUGAAAUGGAGCUGUCAAUCACAUCUGCCUCACAGGCUUGUUCUGAGGAUGAAGUGAGAAAAUGCCCACGAGGUGCUGGUUGCAGCAGCUGGUGCAUAGAGCUUAAAAAGGAUGCAGUCCCAAAACAUAGAAGGAUUUACUCCAGAUCCAAGCAAUGAGUCAGGAACAGAAAGCCUGAUGCCCUCACCUGGAACUCUCCCUCCUCCCUGGAUGAGGACCUUCCCCAGAAUUGCAGGGCACCCACACAAGACCAAGCAAGUUCAGAGAAAAUUGAAACCUGACUUUAGAGCCUCUGGGAUGUUCACUACACCUCAUUGAACCUGUUUGGUUCACAGAGCUCCAACUACCGUCUACUUCCUGCAACUGGCCUGCUGCCAACUCCCCAGAUCUCUUGUGGAGCUGCCGGAAGAGACAGCCUGCCACAGAAGAAAGCAGCCCUCCUCUUUCAUGGCCUCCCACAUCUUGAAACAAACACAAGCAAACAAAACAAAAGCUUGAGUCCCAGCCUGAUUCACCAGGUUUGGUUCCCAAUUGUUGAAAUUCCCUUCCCAGGGCUCUCAGAACCAGGGUUGGCUGGAGGGGUGAAAGAGGCUGGCCCUGAGCCCAGUAAUAGGACACCAAGGGGGAGCUAAAAGCUGGGAUCUGGGGUGAAGAUGGGGUCUUCCAAGCUGGGAGGCAGACACCAGGCCAGAGCAACCGGCCUGCCCCAGCUCAGGCCUCUUAACCCAUGCAGGGCAAGAGUAUAAACAGAGGCCACGGACCACAUGCCUCAGUAUUUAAACUUAUAAAUCAAGCUAACAUAACAUGAAAUCAAAUAUGUUCUAUCCUCCUAGCUUGACAAAUACUUUCAUAACGAGAUGGAAUGCCAGGUUCAGAUUUAGAAUUUUCACACUCCUUAAAGUUCCAAGUCAAAAUACAGCAUUAGGGGAGGGCCCCCAACCUCGAGGUCUCCCCUCCCCCAUUUUCUUUCACUCCCAGCUCUGUCUCACACCACGAGGGAUCUUGGGUGAAUGCCCCUCGAUACCCCAGCCCCCCACAAACAGCUGCCCUUUCCCCCCUUGGCCAAGGGUAAGCACAGCAGCAGGGCAGUCUGCCCUUGGCUGGAGAGAUGGAAGGAGAGGCCACACGGGCCCUGAAAAUGCAUUUGGGGACUCUUGGGCAGGAAACUUGGGAGUUUCUGGAGCCUCAAGGAGGGUCUAGUGGGACAGAGCCACUUGGGCCCAUGAGAUCCUUGACCCAUGGAGAAGGGUAGGGCUAGAGGAGGGCCAGGGCAGGCCCUAUGAACAGAAGAACCUAGAGUAACUGCCCUGUCCCCAGAUCCUGUCACCGAGCAGGUAUACUUGGGAGGGUAUUGGAGGGUGGAACCCAAGGGAGCUUGCCCAAGGCACUAGGAAAGAAAAGUGUAAACCUUGUUAGAGAAUGCUAAGGAUAGCUGUUAAAGCCUCAGAGAUUUUACUCAUUUUUGGCUGUUUCUAAAAAUCUUCCCCCAAAGGAAGAUCUUGCUCUCAUUGAGGAUCUGAGAAAGAAUUCUCUCCAAGUAGUUUCAAAACAUUCUGAUGUAAAAACUCUGGUGUGUUAGUCAAAAAUAAAUUUUGUUGCUUGAUGGCUUCACCAUUCACAAAAUAUUCUAUCCAUCCAAUUUAAAAAUAAGAGCAGGGUAUUUAAAACUCUUUCAAUAAACACAAAUUAAAACAAUG